Molecule: small nuclear RNA, 64 nt
Organism: Apodemus sylvaticus (European woodmouse)
Lineage: Eukaryota; Metazoa; Chordata; Mammalia; Rodentia; Muridae
Product: U7 small nuclear RNA
Exons: 1
Source: RefSeq, a predicted model, not a curated record
GAGUGAACACAGCUCUUUUAGAAUUUUUUAUAGCGGCUUUUUUGACUUUGGUCAGAAAACCCAU